Molecule: long non-coding RNA, 2209 nt
Organism: Eriocheir sinensis (Chinese mitten crab)
Lineage: Eukaryota; Metazoa; Arthropoda; Malacostraca; Decapoda; Varunidae
Exons: 3
Source: RefSeq, a predicted model, not a curated record
AAGAAGUAGAAGAAGUAGAAAAGGAAAGAAGAAGAAGAGAUGGAGGUGUGUUGAUGCUGAUACAGACUUAAGAAACAGCAAUGAAAAGAAAGCCAGACGUUGAGGAUUCCGAGAGUGACAAUGAAGAAGAAGAAGAAGUUGAAGAGAAGAAGAAGUAGAAGUAGAAAAAGGAAGAAGAAGAAGAGAUGGAGGUAUGUUGACGCUGAUACAGACUUAAGAAACAGCAAUGAAAUGAAAGCCAGGCGUUGAUGAUUCCGAGAGUGACAAUGAAGAAGAAGUAGAAGUAGAAGAGAAGAAGUAGAAGAAGUAGAAAAGGAAAGAAGAAGAAGAGAUGGAGGUAUGUUGAUGCUGAUACAGACUUAAGAAACAGCAAUGAAAUGAAAGCCAGGCAUUCAUGAUCCCAAGAGUGACAAUGAAGAAGAAGUAGAAGUAGAAGAGACAGAAGAAGAGGUAGAAAAAGAAAAAAGAAGAGAUGGAGGUGUGUUGAUGCUGAUACAGACUUAAGAAACAGCAAUGAAAAGAAAGCCAGACGUUGAGGAUUCCGAGAGUGACAAUGAAGAAGAAGUAGAAGUAGAAGAGAAGAAAUAGAAGAAGAGGUAGAAGAAGUAGAAAAGGAAAGAAGAAGAAGAGAUGGAGGUGUGUUGAUGCUGUUAGACUUAAGAAACAGCAAUGAAAUGAAAGCCAGAAGUUCAUGAUCCCGAGAGUGACAAUGAAGAAGAAGUAGAAGUAGAAGAGAAGAAGUAGAAGAAGUAGAAAAGGAAAGAAGAAGAAGAGAUGGAGGUAUGUUGAUGCUGAUAGACUUAAGAAACAGCAAUGAAAUGAAAGCCAGGCAUUCAUGAUCCCAAGGGUGACAAUGAAGAAGAAGUAGAAGUAGAAGAGAAGAAGUAGAAGAAGUAGAAAAGGAAAGAAGAAGAAGAGAUGGAGGUAUGUUGAUGCUGAUAGACUUAAGAAACAGCAAUGAAAUGAAAGCCAGAAGUUCAUGAUCCCAAGAGAGACAAUGAGAGAUGCUUGCAAGGUGAGAUGAGUGAAAAGAGGGGGUCAGUCUGGUUCUAAUGAGUGGUUCUUCAGGUUCAUGGUACAGAGGAAAGGUCAAACUAGCAAUAGGGUCAUAAAACUACUCCCGGAAAUGCCUACAACUCCUAUGAAAGCCUUGUCAAAUAUGUGUUCUUGGGCGGCGAAGUGUUUUGUAAUAUGACCCAAAAUCUCACAUUCCCACACUUUCAGCUCACAACAACACUUCCAAAUGCCACAAAGGAGAUAAGACCCAUAUAAUUAAACCCUUCGGAACCUUAGUGCUAUUUGAAAAGGCUCUCGUGGAAGCUGUCAGGAUUUCCAAGGGUGGUUUCAUGACCCUGGUGGUAGUUUUGCAAGGCUUCCGCGCUGUGAACGGGGAAAAUCACUCUUGGCAAACUGACCUAUAUCCUCUCUGGCCUUAACCCGGUAGCUGUGGGGAUCAUGUUUCUUAAUGGUCCCUCUAACCGAGAAAAAUGAGAAGAAAAUCAUCACUCAUGCAAACCAUUUCAGAAUAUAUAUCAACGCAUUUGUGAUCAGUUUAUGCAUCAUCUAUUUUGGGGGGUUUAUAUCAUGGCAAAAUUUUAUGUCCCGCUGCUACACGGUAAAGCCACAAAUUUGGCCCGUCGCUGCUACCGGGUUAAAGAAUAGUCAUAAGAAUCUAAAGCGUUUGAUAUUAGCUAAGUCUGGUUCUCAUAAGAGUUCUUUCACAUUCACAUUGCAGAAGCCUUGUCAAACUAUCACCAGGCUCAUAACACUACCCCCAUGGAAACACUACUAACACAACCUCUAUAAGUCUCUCACAACAAAUACUUUAAAGGCUUCAUAUUAAGUCACGUUCUGAAGAGUUAUGUUACAUUCACACUGCAGAAGCCUUGUCAAACUAUCACCAGGCUCAUAACACCACCCAUGGAAACACUACUAACACAAUCUCACUAAAAGUCUCUCAUACCAAAUACUUUAAAGGCUACAUAUUAAGUCACGUUCUCAAGAGAGUUACGUUACAUCCACAUUGCAAAAGCCUUGUCAAACUAUCACCAGGUUCAUAAAACUACCCCCAUGGAAACACUACUAACACAACCUCCAUGGAAGCCUCGUCGAAUGUGGGUGUGUGACUCUCGAAAUGGUUGUGAAUAUGGACCCAAGACUUUGCAGGGAAGGUUUUACAUGGGUGGUUAUGGCGAGGGAAGGACUUAUA